UUUUUUUUUUGCUUUUUUUCAACUGUCCACUCCCUGAAAUAUUACUGUUUUCUUGGAUUCUGUCUUUGACCCCUUCUCGUCUUAUGUAUCUUUUUCAAGUGUCCUCAUCUGCUCUCUUGGUUUAAAAUACUGCCUGUAUAUUGAUGACUCCUUCAUCUCUCUGUGGCUCAAACUUCUCUGCUGAACUCCAGACCCAUAUACCCACCUUUACAUUGGGCAUUUCCACUUGGGUGGAGUCUUUUUGUACUCAUAUGCCUUGUACUGAACUUUUUCUCUUCUGGUUUCGACUCCUUUAUUCUCUACUUUGGUUGGUAGCAUCA
RNAcentral lists this long non-coding RNA (320 nucleotides) under Homo sapiens (human). Its description in RNAcentral is "non-protein coding lnc-EXOC1-3:1". The record is from RNAcentral. Lineage: Eukaryota; Metazoa; Chordata; Mammalia; Primates; Hominidae.